RNAcentral lists this ribosomal RNA (253 nucleotides) under uncultured bacterium. RNAcentral describes it as "partial 16S ribosomal RNA". It matches the Rfam family "Bacterial small subunit ribosomal RNA", at positions 524 to 776 of the family's 1533-position model. The record is from RNAcentral.
UACGAAGGGGGCUAGCGUUGUUCGGAAUUACUGGGCGUAAAGGGCGCGUAGGCGGUGUGUCAAGUCAGGCGUGAAAGCCCCGGGCUCAACCUGGGAACAGCGCUUGAGACUGGCACGCUCGAGUUCGGGAGAGGAUGGUGGAAUUCCCAGUGUAGAGGUGAAAUUCGUAGAUAUUGGGAAGAACACCGAUGGCGAAGGCAGCCAUCUGGACCGACACUGACGCUGAGGCGCGAAAGCUAGGGGAGCGAACGGG